RNAcentral lists this long non-coding RNA (476 nucleotides) under Capra hircus (goat). RNAcentral's name for it is "lncRNA (ENSCHIG00010007703.1)". Lineage: Eukaryota; Metazoa; Chordata; Mammalia; Artiodactyla; Bovidae. The record is from RNAcentral.
GCGGAGACCACCCGGAGGGCGAACGGUGGCGGAGGCGGGGACUGGGCGGACUGCAGACGCCCAGCCCCGAGAUUCAAGGGUCACAUAGCAGGCUGAGCAUCUAGCAAUGUAUUUACUGCUUUGGGAGUAAACAGAAGUAAAAGAAACCUUGAAUAACAAAAACAAAGAAAACUUGAACGGAAGCCAAGCUGUCCUUUUACCUAUUCUCAAAGUUAGACCUGACAAACCGCCCUGUAUGAUUGCUACUGCUAAUACCGUUACUAAAAGCAUUCAUCAGUUUUUAAUGUUUUGUCUUACUCAGUUGAUCUGUCUGCCUACCUACCUACUUAUCUAUCAUGUAUUAAUGUUUCUGCUGAAGCAUUUGAAAGCAAGUUGCAGACAACAUGGCAUUUGCUUCUAAAUAUUAAGUUUAACCUUAUGAAAUUGCUAAUAAAUAGUCAUUUUUGUUUUCUCAACUUAAUACUUCAGUAUGCAUC